This 773-nucleotide unclassified non-coding RNA is filed under the name Hevea brasiliensis (rubber tree). The record is from RNAcentral. Lineage: Eukaryota; Viridiplantae; Streptophyta; Magnoliopsida; Malpighiales; Euphorbiaceae.
AGUACCUCCAUCGGACUCGAAAAUCGACAGAAGCCAUUUCAUAUCGCCGAUGGAAGACUCCAGAAGGUUGGAGACCUUGCGAAAGUCAGCAGUAGAGAUGAUGGAGAAGACAUGGCGGAGAACGCCGCUGUGCUUGCACUUACGAACAAGGGUGAGGGCACGAUCGAGGUUCUUGGAGAUGUCGGAAGCAAUAAGGAGGAGAGGGCGGUCGUAGAUGGAAGGAGUGGUGGAGACGAGGCGGACGGUGGAUCGUAGCAACUGGGAGAGGCGUUCCACUUGUUUAGCAAGGUCGGAGCAAUCCUGUUUGAACGAUUCUGCUUCUUGGGCCGAAUUGAUCACUCGAUCUGCAAGUAAAAUUGGGAUAGUCAGCUCUUGGAGAGUCUUCUCUUCUUCACGGCUAGACACUGUAGCGGCAACGGCCAUUUUUUAAAAAUGUUUUCUGGCUCUAUUACUAAUGAUUAACCGACAUACAUGAAGCACCUCUUACUUUAUGUUAGAUUUGAGCAAUCUGGAAGUUACUGAUGAGUAGAGUUUUGCUUCUGUCAGAUGGUCGAAAUAUGUGAAAGGCAAGGUGAGUGGUAGUGAUUUGAGAUAUUAUUUAUUUAAUUUGGGAAAUGAUCCUGGUGAUGGCUUUGUCUGUGUGCAAGAAAGAUGAACAGAAGAGGUGGAUGACAGUUGACUAAUCAAUUAUUUAGAUAAGGAUGCGGAAGAGGAUGGAGAAAAUUCUUAUGUCGACUGACGCUGAGGAAAUGCCAACCCCGAAAUCAAUUUUA